Long non-coding RNA from Mesocricetus auratus (golden hamster), 3424 nucleotides. RefSeq lists it as uncharacterized. The record is from RefSeq and is a predicted model, not a curated record. Lineage: Eukaryota; Metazoa; Chordata; Mammalia; Rodentia; Cricetidae. The transcript is spliced from 2 exons.
UUAAAGCUGAAGAUCAGAGAAGCAAAGUGGCCAGCCACUAGAGACUUCUCACCUCUACCAAUGCUCAGACUGGAAGGGGCGAACACGUCCUCAGAUUCAUCUCCAGACUGCACUGCUCUCCAGGUAACCUCAGACUGCCUUCAGGUCCUGGUAGCACCAGUGCUGGAUUACAGGCGUGGGAUCCCAGGUGCUGGGGUCACCUUUGUGGGAGCUCUGUUUCUCUUUUAGACUGGAGCAAUUUGUAUAGUUCAGAUAUCUGCCUGCCUCUGUCUCCCGAGGGCUGGGAUUAAAGGUGUGUGCCACCAUUGUCCCGCCUGUACGGCUGACUGGCGUGGCUAGCUCCACCCUCUAAUCUUAGGCCCGUUUUACCUGUUACCAUCAGCAAAGUUAUCACACCACGAGGAACGCACUGCAGGAUCAGAGUUCCAACAGUACCGGAUUUGGGAGAUGGUCUGCCGGGUUCUUUGAAGGAGCUGUUUCACGCUUCCGCGCUUGUCAUCAUACGCAGCGUCACCUUUAAGAUGAACCUGUCACGCAGCGCUGCAUAUGGCUGAUUUCCCUUCACACAUGCCGGAGCUCUUGCCAGCUACCCGCCAGUGAGCGCCUGGAGAUCAGCUUUGUUCCUCUGAAAGGCUGAGGCUGCCCCCUCCACCACUAGUUGUCGAGCCUCUGCCAGCUCGACCUUCGAACAAUCAAGGGGACAAGGAUUACUCUUGCUCUGUCUAUACAGACCAGAGCACCCAAGAACAGAGAUGAGAUCGAAAACUUGGGUGUCUGCUCCAAGAUCCUGCACCUUUGAACUGUGCGCGCGCGCGCGAGCGCGUGUGUGUGUGUGUGUGUGUGUGUGUGUCUUUAAAAUUUAUUUUUGUUUCCUGUACCAAUUUUAUCAGACUCUUUCCUGAAAGGUGUGUCUCUGGGACACCCCGAAUCUCGACUUUUAGGGCAGCUGUCUCUGUGCUUCUUCUGUUAAAUUCGGUAACAAAAUCUUCCCCAAGAGUAGCGUCUGGUCUGGAUCUAUCAAGCUGAAAUAGAGUGAUUGUAAUUUCGGUAAUCGUUACUGUACCGUUAAUAGUUGGCGAUUCUGGGCCAUGCUGAGGCGAGCCAUGUUUACUUCUGGGCGAUGCUGUGGGGGUUGGGGCAAAGGAGCCCAUCCCAUCCCCUCUGGCUAGUGUCCCUGUCUCUUGCGCUCGUUCGAGAACACACACUCACACACACACACACACACACACACACACACGGGAUUGCAGGCGUGUUCUAGGCUCAGCUCCCAUCUUCUCUUCACUGUGUUAGUGUCUUUCUGGAAACUGAGCUCCCUAGAUAGAAUGACUGUAGCCAGCUAACCAGCAAGGCUCAACUGAGCAGGCCGGGGGCUGGGGAGGACCCAUUUGGGGAGUCUGGAAAGAUGUGAGUGUUGAGGGAGAGAUCUGCUGGCCAAGGCUGCUCUGGUUUUGUGAAGGACCGAAACAGAACACUACCCGAUGCACAGAGCCUCUGUGUUCCAGCUGUGGGGGAGGAGGGGACGUCAGUUCCCUGCUUGGGAUCUAGCAUGGAGAAGAAAUGCAGUUUAAAACCUCAAGCUCCGCACUGUCUUCUGUGCUCAGCAGAAUGGCUGGGUGCACCCUGGCUGACCCUGGUGUUCACAGCCACGCGGUUUCCUGUUUAGAGCCACUUAGUGUGAAGGUAUGUUCAUGGGGAAGGAUCCUGAACGCUGGGCAUUUGCUGGGACUCUGGGAACGCCUCCUGGGGUCCCAACCCACGCUCUGGAGAGAGACUGUCAGUUUCGCACACACGGAGGGAGGACACGGGACACAGGUUUCUCUGCAUGUGUUUGUGGAUGACAGACACGCGCAAAGAGAUUCUGCGCUAGUUUGGGUGAGAGGCCUGACUCACGGAUAAGGAAGGCCAGCUUUCCAAAUCCGCUGUUGAGGUGAGGCAGUCAGAGCGGGGCAGAGCAGAAACGUGCUGAGUUCAGGGAGGCCUGUGUAACAGCUUUCUUGGCCCCUGAAGUUGACCAAACCGCUAAGUGAAGAAACAGACUUCCUUCGGUACCUCCGACCAAGUCAUCAUCUGUAAACUGGCUGGGCUGCUUCAGCUUAACUGCAGUCUUCCUGACUGCUCGGGAGAGAACUGGGAGCUGAGUGGGGAGGGGAAUACCGAAAGAGCUAGAAUGUAGAUGUCACUCCUGGAGCAGGUCACUGUCUUUCUUAACCCAUCCAGUUAUCUUCCAUUUCCCUCAUCACACCAGUCAUAUUUUAUAAAACUGGAAUGUAGACGGGCAUAUUUGCUGGCAGGUCAAUGGCUCGCAUAACUUUGUAUAACUUCUGUGCCUCCAAACCAUGACCGCGGCUCCCAGCGCUACACGAAUACCCAUCCCAGGAUGAGGCGGGGUCACGUGGUCACAUCUGAUGCUUUUGGCAGAAGAUGAUGACUGAAGCUGGCAAGGCCUCGGCGCCAGACUACAGCGACCUUUGCCAGGCUUCACAUGUCAACUUUCUUCUAAGUAGGGGAAGUAACUUUCAGGGCACAGAUUACGUUAACAGUCAGAUGACGGGCUUUUAUGUGUGUGCCUGUGGUGGACAUUAGAAACCCUGAGGUCCGUUUCUAACAUCCCAGGGAUGUUAUGGCGGAGGACUAAGGAGGCAUGCGUUUGCUUGAGAUGGAGGUGGGAAAUGUGGGAGGAGCGGACUCCAGCUCUCUCCGUACGUAGCUGUGCCCUGGAUGCGAUUGGAGUUUCUAUUUUGCCUCUUGAUCGUAGUGGUGUGCACAGCAGCAACGCCGUUGGUUUCUCCUGGUUGGACAAAGCACCACACAGGGUCUUGGGGUGCCGAGACUCUGGUGUAACCAUGCGUGAGUUAACAGGCUGUGUCCGCUUCAGAAGGGAGAGAGGGAAAGUGUCGCGCUUUGAAUGUGAAGUGUCUGUCUUCCAUGGGCUCAUGUGUCUGAAUGUUUAGUCUCCAGCUGGCACAGUGCGUGGGGAAAACCGCGUGCCGUUAGGAGGAGGGGCCUACCGGGUGAUGGGCCUGGAGGAUUUACAGCCUGGGCUCACUUACGUCUACUCUCUGGUCCCCCAAUCGGUAGACCUAGAAGCAUUGGCUGUGAUCCCGCACUCACAGCCGCGACCGCUCCUGUUGCCUUCCUGACCACGACGGAGUGUACCUUGAAACUGUGAGCCAAAUGAGUCCUUCCUCUCUUAGCUGACAAGUGUGGCCCACAAGACCUAUAACAACAAGGAAGUUAUGUGAGGAGUGAGCGUGAGGCAGUGGGAGCGGGACAACUGAGGUUCCUGUACUUAUGAGGCUGAAGAUUCAAGAGUGAGAGGCACCCGGGCUGCAGAGUGAGACCCUGUCUCAAAGAUGAGAGCAAAGCAACCCCACCCCAAGUCCUCAGAAAUGGGCUAAAAUAAACAUAUACAACUGAAAAAAUA